AAUGUUGCGACCCCAGGUCAGGCGGGACUACCCGCUGAGUUUAAGCAUAUCAAUAAGGCGGAGGAAGAACCCUGCCCCGCAGAAGACCGGCGAACGUGUUUGCUUAUCGGAGGAAAGGGGUGGCCGUCCGGCUCUCUCGGAACUCCUCGUGUCGGUUCGCGCUCCUGAGACGUGCUCGACGCGCCUAACAAACCCGCGUUGAUGCGCAGAGAAUGAACACUAACGUGUCGUUUGCGCCCGCAUCCCCGAAGGUCGCCGCAACCCAUCGCUAUCCACGAACCUCGCACGAUUUCGACUUUGCCAUCUAUG
RNAcentral lists this ribosomal RNA (309 nucleotides) under Boerhavia diffusa. Its description in RNAcentral is "partial 28S ribosomal RNA". Lineage: Eukaryota; Viridiplantae; Streptophyta; Magnoliopsida; Caryophyllales; Nyctaginaceae. The record is from RNAcentral.